UUGGGAGGGCAAGUCUGGUGCCAGCAGCCGCGGUAAUUCCAGCUCCAAUAGCGUAUAUUAAAGUUGUUGCAGUUAAAAAGCUCGUAGUUGAACUUCGGGGUUCACCCAUUGGUCAGGCUUAAUUGUCUGUACUGGCGAGAUGAAUCUCUACCCUCUGAGGAACUUUCAUGCCAUUUAGUUGGUGUGAUAGGAAAUCAGGACUGUUACUUUGAAAAAAUUAGAGUGUUUAAAGCAGGCUAACGUCUGAAUACAUUAGCAUGGAAUAAUGAAAUAGGACGGAUUGGUUCUAUUUCGUUGGUUUCUAGGAUCACCGUAAUGAUUAAUAGGGAUAGUUGGGGGCAUUAGUAUUCAAUUGUCAGAGGUGAAAUUCUUGGAUUUAUUGAAGACUAACUUCUGCGAAAGCAUUUGCCAAGGAUGUUUUCAUUAAUCAAGAACGAAAGUUAGGGGAUCGAAGACGAUCAGAUACCGUCGUAGUCUUAACCAUAAACUAUGCCGACUAGGGAUCGGACGAUGUUAAUUUUUUUAUGACUCAUUCGGCGCCUUACGGGAAAC
This 552-nucleotide ribosomal RNA is filed under the name uncultured Glomeromycotina. Its description in RNAcentral is "SSU rRNA". It matches the Rfam family "Eukaryotic small subunit ribosomal RNA", at positions 547 to 1098 of the family's 1831-position model. The record is from RNAcentral. Lineage: Eukaryota; Fungi; Glomeromycota.